RNAcentral lists this ribosomal RNA (760 nucleotides) under Prevotella nigrescens. RNAcentral describes it as "bacterial SSU rRNA". It matches the Rfam family "Bacterial small subunit ribosomal RNA", at positions 28 to 776 of the family's 1533-position model. The record is from RNAcentral. Lineage: Bacteria; Pseudomonadati; Bacteroidota; Bacteroidia; Bacteroidales; Prevotellaceae.
GAUGAACGCUGGCUACAGGCUUAACACAUGCAAGUCGUGGGGAAACGGCAUUAUGUGCUUGCACAUUCUGGACGUCGACCGGCGCACGGGUGAGUAUCGCGUAUCCAACCUGCCCCUUACUUGGGGAUACCCCGUUGAAAGACGGCCUAAUACCCGAUGUGUUUCAUUGACGGCAUCCGAUAUGAAACAAAGGUUUCCGGUAAGGGAUGGGGAUGCGUCUGAUUAGCUUGUUGGCGGGGCAACGGCCCACCAAGGCGACGAUCAGUAGGGGUUCUGAGAGGAAGGUCCCCCACAUUGGAACUGAGACACGGUCCAAACUCCUACGGGAGGCAGCAGUGAGGAAUAUUGGUCAAUGGACGCAAGUCUGAACCAGCCAAGUAGCGUGCAGGAUGACGGCCCUAUGGGUUGUAAACUGCUUUUAUGUGGGAAUAAAGUGGCGCACGUGUGCGCCAUUGCAUGUACCUCAUGAAUAAGGACCGGCUAAUUCCGUGCCAGCAGCCGCGGUAAUACGGAAGGUCCGGGCGUUAUCCGGAUUUAUUGGGUUUAAAGGGAGUGUAGGCGGUCUGUUAAGCGUGUUGUGAAAUUUAGGUGCUCAACAUUUAACUUGCAGCGCGAACUGUCAGACUUGAGUACACGCAGCGCAGGCGGAAUUCAUGGUGUAGCGGUGAAAUGCUUAGAUAUCAUGAGGAACUCCGAUCGCGAAGGCAGCCUGCGGGAGUGUUACUGACGCUUAAGCUCGAAGGUGCGGGUAUCGAACAGG